UACGAAGGGGGCUAGCGUUGCUCGGAAUCAUUGGGCGUAAAGCGCGCGUAGGCGGUUGCUUAUGUCAGAUGUGAAAGCCCUCGGCUUAACUGAGGAAGUGCAUCCGAAACUGGGCAGCUAGAGUACGAAAGAGGGUCGCGGAAUUCCCGGUGUAGAGGUGAAAUUCGUAGAUAUCGGGAGGAACACCGGUGGCGAAGGCGGCGACCUGGGUCGAGACUGACGCUGAGGCGCGAAAGCGUGGGGAGCAAACAGG
RNAcentral lists this ribosomal RNA (253 nucleotides) under uncultured bacterium. Its description in RNAcentral is "partial 16S ribosomal RNA". It matches the Rfam family "Bacterial small subunit ribosomal RNA", at positions 524 to 776 of the family's 1533-position model. The record is from RNAcentral.